Molecule: ribosomal RNA, 389 nt
Filed under: uncultured bacterium
Lineage: Bacteria
Description: bacterial SSU rRNA
Rfam family: Bacterial small subunit ribosomal RNA
Source: RNAcentral
GACGAACGCUGGCGGCGUGCUUAACACAUGCAAGUCGAGCGGUAAGGCCCUUUCGGGGGUACACGAGCGGCGAACGGGUGAGUAACACGUGAGUGACCUGCCCUCAGCUCUGGGAUAAGCCUGGGAAACCGGGUCUAAUACCGGAUAUGACUCCAUGACGCAUGUUGUGGGGUGGAAAGCCUUGUGCGGCUGAGGAUGGGCCCGCGGCCUAUCAGCUUGUUGGUGGGGUGAGGCCUACCAAGGCGACGACGGGUAGCCGGCCUGAGAGGGCGACCGGCCACACUGGGACUGAGACACGGCCCAGACUCCUACGGGAGGCAGCAGUGGGGAAUCUUGCGCAAUGGGCGAAAGCCUGACGCAGCGACGCCGCGUGAGGGAUGACGGCCUGG